AUGGACUGUGCAACACGGGUACGUGAUCUCUUAAGGAGAUAUUGUGAGGCUUCGGGACAGAGGAUAAAUGUGAGUAAGUCUUCGAUUUUCUUUAGUAAGGGAGUUGCAGAAUCUCUUCGAAAUGAUGUAAAGGCUGUUCUGGAGGUUCGGAAUGAGGCGCUUUCAGAGAAGUACUUGGGCCUCCCAACCGAUGUAGGAAGGGCAAAAGAGGGCUGUUUCAGAUACCUAAAGGAUAGGAUAUGGAAGCAUGUU
This 252-nucleotide ribosomal RNA is filed under the name Triticum aestivum (bread wheat). Its description in RNAcentral is "partial small subunit ribosomal RNA". The record is from RNAcentral. Lineage: Eukaryota; Viridiplantae; Streptophyta; Magnoliopsida; Poales; Poaceae.